RNAcentral lists this ribosomal RNA (376 nucleotides) under uncultured bacterium. RNAcentral describes it as "bacterial SSU rRNA". It matches the Rfam family "Bacterial small subunit ribosomal RNA", at positions 524 to 898 of the family's 1533-position model. The record is from RNAcentral.
UACGUAGGGUGCAAACGUUGUUCGGAAUCACUGGGCAUAAAGAGCGCGUAGGCGGUCUGAUAAGUCCUGUGUGAAAGCCCCCGGCUUAACCGGGGAAUUGCACAGGAUACUGUCAGGCUAGAGUGCAGGAGGGGAGAGCGGAAUUCCUGGUGGAGCGGUGAAAUGCGUAGAUAUCAGGAGGAACGCCGGUGGCGAAAGCGGCUCUCUGGUCUGCAACUGACGCUGAGGUGCGAAAGCUAGGGGAGCAAACGGGAUUAGAUACCCCGGUAGUCCUAGCCCUAAACGAUGGGUACUAAGUAGGGGAAACUCCGAUGUUUUCCCUGCCGGAGCUAAUGUAUUAAGUACCCCGCCUGGGGAGUAUGGUCGCAAGGCUAAA